RNAcentral lists this long non-coding RNA (232 nucleotides) under Mytilus galloprovincialis (Mediterranean mussel). Lineage: Eukaryota; Metazoa; Mollusca; Bivalvia; Mytilida; Mytilidae. The record is from RNAcentral.
CAUAAUUCAUUUUUCCACAGCAAGAGUAUACAGUUAUUACGGGCUAUUCCAUUCAUUAAAAUACAUGUGGGAAGGUAGGAAGGGCCUAUAAAAUAUCCCUAAAACUCAAGAAAUUUUCUUUAGAUAAUUUUGCAUAAUGGUAAUAAAAGCAUACUGAAAAAAAGACCCAUGACCUACAUUCAAUAAUUAAACUUCCUUUCCUACCUCCCACAUACAUUUUAAUGGAAUAGCC